Molecule: ribosomal RNA, 876 nt
Filed under: Triticum aestivum (bread wheat)
Lineage: Eukaryota; Viridiplantae; Streptophyta; Magnoliopsida; Poales; Poaceae
Description: partial small subunit ribosomal RNA
Source: RNAcentral
AUGUCCAUGUUCACCUCCAGCAGCUCCGGCGUGCCGUCCCCGUCUCCGGAGGCGGGCAGCAGCAUGGUCAGAACGGCGCGGCAGCCCCAGCGCCAGGCGUUUGACUACUUCGUGGUUCUAGACUUCGAGGCGACGUGCGAGAAAGGCGCGCAGAUCUACCCGCAGGAGAUCAUCGAGUUCCCCUCCGUGCUCGUCGACGGCGCCACCGGCGACCUCGACUCCGCCGAGUUCCGCACCUACGUGCGCCCGCAGCACCACCCCGCGCUGACCGACUUCUGCAGGGACCUCACCGGCAUCCGGCAGGCGGACGUCGACGGCGGCGUGCAGCUGGCCGAGGCGCUCCGCCUGCACGCCGCGUGGCUGCAGGACUCGGCGUGGGCCAGGAGCGGCGGCUGCUUCGCCGUCGUCACGUGGGGGGACUGGGACCUCCGCACCAUGCUGGAGACGGAGUGCCGCUUCAAAGACCUCGCCAAGCCGCCCUGCUUCAACCACUGGAUCAACCUCAAGAUCCCCUUCGCCGCGGCGAUGGGCGGAGGUCGGUGGGCUGCUCUGCGGUCGGCCGUCGAAGCGGCGGGGCUCCAGUGGGAGGGCCGCGCGCACUGCGGCCUCGACGACGCUCGUAACACGGCGCGGCUUCUCGUGGAGCUGAUGCGGCGCGGCGUCCAGCUCAGCAUCACGACCUCGACCCCAUCGCCUCAGGUAACUGUAACUCCAUACGGUGGCGCCGCCGCGGCGUGCUACUGCUACUGCGGGGUGGCGAGCAGAGGUGGCGUGGUGGCCGUGCCGGGGCCGAUGCAGGGGAGAUGCUUCUACGGUUGCGGUAACUGGACGCCGUCCAUGGGAGCAGCGUGCUCCUACUUCACGUGGGCAGAUUAA